RNAcentral lists this ribosomal RNA (669 nucleotides) under Brevundimonas sp. B136_1. RNAcentral describes it as "bacterial SSU rRNA". It matches the Rfam family "Bacterial small subunit ribosomal RNA", at positions 121 to 824 of the family's 1533-position model. The record is from RNAcentral. Lineage: Bacteria; Pseudomonadati; Pseudomonadota; Alphaproteobacteria; Caulobacterales; Caulobacteraceae.
GGAACGUGCCUUUUGGUUCGGAAUAGCUCCUGGAAACGGGUGGUAAUGCCGAAUGUGCCCUUCGGGGGAAAGAUUUAUCGCCAUUAGAGCGGCCCGCGUCUGAUUAGCUAGUUGGUGAGGUAAAGGCUUACCAAGGCUACGAUCAGUAGCUGGUCUGAGAGGAUGACCAGCCACAUUGGGACUGAGACACGGCCCAAACUCCUACGGGAGGCAGCAGUGGGGAAUCUUGCGCAAUGGGCGAAAGCCUGACGCAGCCAUGCCGCGUGAAUGAUGAAGGUCUUAGGAUUGUAAAAUUCUUUCACCGGGGACGAUAAUGACGGUACCCGGAGAAGAAGCCCCGGCUAACUUCGUGCCAGCAGCCGCGGUAAUACGAAGGGGGCUAGCGUUGCUCGGAAUUACUGGGCGUAAAGGGAGCGUAGGCGGACAUUUAAGUCAGGGGUGAAAUCCCAGAGCUCAACUCUGGAACUGCCUUUGAUACUGGAUGUCUUGAGUGUGAGAGAGGUAUGUGGAACUCCGAGUGUAGAGGUGAAAUUCGUAGAUAUUCGGAAGAACACCAGUGGCGAAGGCGACAUACUGGCUCAUUACUGACGCUGAGGCUCGAAAGCGUGGGGAGCAAACAGGAUUAGAUACCCUGGUAGUCCACGCCGUAAACGAUGAUUGCUAGUUGUC